This 441-nucleotide ribosomal RNA is filed under the name uncultured bacterium. RNAcentral describes it as "partial 16S ribosomal RNA". It matches the Rfam family "Bacterial small subunit ribosomal RNA", at positions 338 to 795 of the family's 1533-position model. The record is from RNAcentral.
CCUACGGGGGGCAGCAGUGGGGAAUAUUGCACAAUGGGGGAAACCCUGAUGCAGCAACGCCGCGUGGGUGAAGGAGCGUUUCGGCGCGUAAAGCUCUGUUAGCGGGGAAGAAGAAAGACGGUACCCGACCAAGAAGCCCCGGCUAACUACGUGCCAGCAGACGCGGUAAUACGGAGGGGGCGAGCGUUAUCCGGAAGUACUGGGUGUAAAGGGAGCGUAGACGGGGAGGUAAGGCUGAAGUGGAAGCCCGCGGCCCAACCGCGGAACGGCUGUGGAAACUGUUAUGCUUGAGUGGGGGUGGGGUAAGCGGAAUUCGUGGUGUAGCGGUGAAAUGCGUAGAUAUAAGGAAGAACACCGGUGGCGAAGGCGGCUUACUGGACCAUAACUGACGUUGAGGCUCGAAAGCGUGGGGAGCGAACAGGAUUAGAUACCCUAGUAGUC